GCGUAAAGCGUGCGUAGGUGGCUAAUUAAAAAUCUAGUCAAAGACUAAGGAAAAUAGCCUUUUUAUUCUAGAUCUAUUUGUUAGCUUGAGUGUUUUAGAUGGUUUAUACAUUCUUGAAGGAUGGGUGAAAUUGUUAAUAACUGGAAGAUGUUCAAAGGCGGAAGCAAUCGCAAUAAAACUCUGACACUUAGGCACGAAGGCAUGGGGAUCAAGACGGAUUAGAGACCGAGUAGUCCAUGCUGUAAACAUGGGUGUUCAAUAUCCUGGAGCUGUUCUUAUAAAUGGGAAUCUUAGGGAAUUUGCAGCUAACGCGUCAAACACCCCGCUGGGGAAUGUGGCCACAAGGCUUAAACUCAAAGGAAUUGACGGUGGCUCAUACAAGG
The sequence is a ribosomal RNA, 383 nucleotides long. It matches the Rfam family "Bacterial small subunit ribosomal RNA", at positions 558 to 930 of the family's 1533-position model.